RNAcentral lists this long non-coding RNA (628 nucleotides) under Astyanax mexicanus (Mexican tetra). Its description in RNAcentral is "lncRNA (ENSAMXG00005004935.1)". Lineage: Eukaryota; Metazoa; Chordata; Actinopteri; Characiformes; Acestrorhamphidae. The record is from RNAcentral.
UAAACAGCAGGUGGGGAGGGGGGUGGAGAGGUCUUAAUGAGGUCAUCACUCAGGUACAGGUACAGUACCUGCUCAGUGCUGUAGAGCCGGCCGGGGAGGGGAGAUGGCUCCUCAGCUUCAGCUCAGCACCUACACACAGGAGUUCAACUACCCCACCCAGGCCAAGACCACCCGGCCCAGACCCACAUCAGCCCACCGCAGGAACAACCCCCACCCACGCCCGGACUUCCUGCUGCCACGAAAGCUGCAGACAGGAUAUGGACUCAGGCCGAUGUUUCCAGCUAUUGCAGCUUCCAACAACGUUCCUCUGUUUCCACCAGUCAGACACAUAUCUGCCCAGUGUCCAGAUUUCUGAGAUUCAGUAAUUUGUAAAAGUGCCCAGCACUCUGUACAACGGCCGCUUAAUCAGCUCCGAUAAAUCACUUUUUACACAGUCAUCCAGGCUCAAAGUAGUGCCACACCUCAUUGGUAGGAUCCUGAGAGCCCUGACAUUUAAAACGAGGCAUUAAUAAUUGCACAAUAAGUUCACAAAAAGCUUAUUAAAAACCAUUCAGCUCCGGGCGCCGCCAUCACAGUACUGAUAUUGACAGAAAUACAGGGGUUAGACUAUGAAACCGAAACAUCUGUC